Hyaena hyaena (striped hyena) is the source of this 292-nucleotide long non-coding RNA. RefSeq lists it as uncharacterized. The transcript is spliced from 3 exons. NCBI's taxonomy places the organism in Eukaryota, Metazoa, Chordata, Mammalia, Carnivora, Hyaenidae. The record is from RefSeq and is a predicted model, not a curated record.
UAUGGGUCUGCCGGGCAGGUAAGUGAAUCCCCUUGAACCUGUAUGAAGAAGGGCCAUGAAGGCAUGACAGCUUCCAAGUCAGACUCCUCCUCGAAGGUCACUGCAAGUAUCCCACGCCCAGUCUGUGGACCGGGGCAGCAGGAGGGGAACGCAGAUGCGGAUGGAGCUCACUGGGAAGCCCACGCUGAGUUCAUUUGGUAUGGGACAACUGGGUCACCGGGGCCUCUGCAGUCUCUCGGUGCAGCAUCCCCUCCUGUCGGGGCCACCACACUGCUGUUCAAGGACACCUGUG